RNAcentral lists this ribosomal RNA (548 nucleotides) under uncultured bacterium. RNAcentral describes it as "bacterial SSU rRNA". It matches the Rfam family "Bacterial small subunit ribosomal RNA", at positions 8 to 545 of the family's 1533-position model. The record is from RNAcentral.
AGAGUUUGAUCCUGGCUCAGAUUGAACGCUGGCGGCAUGCCUUACACAUGCAAGUCGAACGGCAGCAUGAUCUAGCUUGCUAGAUUGAUGGCGAGUGGCGAACGGGUGAGUAAUACAUCGGAACGUGCCCUGUAGUGGGGGAUAACUAGUCGAAAGAUUAGCUAAUACCGCAUACGACCUGAGGGUGAAAGUGGGGGACCGCAAGGCCUCAUGCUAUAGGAGCGGCCGAUGUCUGAUUAGCUAGUUGGUGGGGUAAAGGCCCACCAAGGCGACGAUCAGUAGCUGGUCUGAGAGGACGAUCAGCCACACUGGGACUGAGACACGGCCCAGACUCCUACGGGAGGCAGCAGUGGGGAAUUUUGGACAAUGGGGGCAACCCUGAUCCAGCAAUGCCGCGUGUGUGAAGAAGGCCUUCGGGUUGUAAAGCACUUUUGUCCGGAAAGAAAUCGCACUUACUAAUAUUAGGUGUGGGUGACGGUACCGGAAGAAUAAGGACCGGCUAACUACGUGCCAGCAGCCGCGGUAAUACGUAGGGUCCAAGCGUUAAU